CCUACGGUUGGCUGCAGUGGGGAAUAUUGGACAAUGGGCGAAAGCCUGAUCCAGCCAUGCCGCGUGUGUGAAGAAGGCCUUCGGGUUGUAAAGCACUUUCAGUGGGGAAGAAAGCCUUGGGGCUAAUACCCUCGAGGAAGGACAUCACCCACAGAAGAAGCACCGGCUAACUCCGUGCCAGCAGCCGCGGUAAGACGGAGGGUGCGAGCGUUAAUCGGAAUUACUGGGCGUAAAGCGCGCGUAGGCGGUCUGAUAAGCCGGUUGUGAAAGCCCCGGGCUCAACCUGGGAACGGCAUCCGGAACUGGCAGGCUAGAGGACAGGAGAGGAAGGUAGAAUUCCCGGUGUAGCGGUGAAAUGCGUAGAGAUCGGGAGGAAUACCAGUGGCGAAGGCGGUCAUCUGGACUGACACUGACGCUGAGGUGCGAAAGCGUGGGUAGCAAACAGGAUUAGAUACCCCGGUAGUC
Molecule: ribosomal RNA, 465 nt
Filed under: Vreelandella stevensii
Lineage: Bacteria; Pseudomonadati; Pseudomonadota; Gammaproteobacteria; Oceanospirillales; Halomonadaceae
Description: partial 16S ribosomal RNA
Rfam family: Bacterial small subunit ribosomal RNA
Source: RNAcentral